This 497-nucleotide ribosomal RNA is filed under the name uncultured bacterium. RNAcentral's name for it is "partial 16S ribosomal RNA". It matches the Rfam family "Bacterial small subunit ribosomal RNA", at positions 28 to 507 of the family's 1533-position model. The record is from RNAcentral.
GAUGAACGCUGGCGGCGUGCCUAAUACAUGCAAGUCGAGCGAACGGACGAGAAGCUUGCUUUUCUGAUGUUAGCGGCGGACGGGUGAGUAACCCGUGGAUAACCUACCUAUAAGACUGGGAUAACUUCGGGAAACCGGAGCUAAUACCGGAUAAUAUUUUGAACCGCAUGGUUCACAAGUGAAAGACGGUCUUGCUGUCACUUAUAGAUAGAUCCGCGCUGCAUUAGCUAGUUGGUAAGGUAACGGCUUACCAAGGCAACGAUGCAUAGCCGACCUGAGAGGGUGAUCGGCCACACUGGAACUGAGACACGGUCCAGACUCCUACGGGAGGCAGCAGUAGGGAAUCUUCCGCAAUGGGCGAAAGCCUGACGGAGCAACGCCGCGUGAGUGAUGAAGGUCUUCGGAUCGUAAAACUCUGUUAUUAGGGAAGAACAGAUGUGUAAGUAACUGUGCACAUCUUGACGGUACCUAAUCAGAAAGCAACGGCUAACUACGUG